RNAcentral lists this ribosomal RNA (690 nucleotides) under uncultured bacterium. RNAcentral describes it as "bacterial SSU rRNA". It matches the Rfam family "Bacterial small subunit ribosomal RNA", at positions 32 to 715 of the family's 1533-position model. The record is from RNAcentral.
AACGCUAGCUACAGGCUUAACACAUGCAAGUCGAGGGGCAGCACAAGGUAGCAAUACUGAGGUGGCGACCGGCGCACGGGUGCGUAACGCGUAUCCAACUUUCCCGUUACUCUGGGAUAGCCUUCCGAAAGGGAGAUUAAUACCGGAUGGUGUUGAAAAUUCGCAUGUUUUUUCAACUAAAGAUUUAUCGGUAACGGAUAGGGAUGCGUGACAUUAGGUAGAUGGCGGGGUAACGGCCCACCAUGCCCACGAUGUCUAGGGGUUCUGAGAGGAAGGUCCCCCACACUGGAACUGAGACACGGUCCAGACUCCUACGGGAGGCAGCAGUGAGGAAUAUUGGUCAAUGGUCGGAAGACUGAACCAGCCAAGUAGCGUGAAGGAUGAAGGUUCUAUGGAUUGUAAACUUCUUUUAUAUAGGAAUAAAGCCCACUACGUGUAGUGGUUUGUAUGUACUAUAUGAAUAAGCAUCGGCUAACUCCGUGCCAGCAGCCGCGGUAAUACGGAGGAUGCGAGCGUUAUCCGGAUUUAUUGGGUUUAAAGGGAGCGUAGACGGGAGAUUAAGUCAGUUGUGAAAGGCUGCGGCUCAACCGCAGCACUGCAGUUGAUACUGGUUUCCUUGAGUGCGGUUGAGGUGUAUGGAAUUCGUGGUGUAGCGGUGAAAUGCUUAGAUAUCACGAAGAACUCCGAUUG